RNAcentral lists this ribosomal RNA (533 nucleotides) under uncultured soil bacterium. RNAcentral's name for it is "bacterial SSU rRNA". It matches the Rfam family "Bacterial small subunit ribosomal RNA", at positions 10 to 557 of the family's 1533-position model. The record is from RNAcentral.
AGUUUGAUCCUGGCUCAGGACGAACGCUGGCGGCGUGCCUAAUACAUGCGAGUCGAGCGAAUCUUUUGGGACUUGUCCCUUGAGAUUAGCGGCGGACGGGUGAUAACACGUGGGUAACCUGCCUGUAGACUGAAUAACUCGAAGACCGGAGCUGUACCGGAUAGUUUCUUUCUCGCAGAGAAGGAUGGAAAGAUGGUGCUGCUAUCACUUACGGAUGGACCCGCGGCGCAUUAGCUAGUUGGUGAGGGACGGCUCACCGGGGCCACGAUGCGUAGCCGACCUAGAGGGUGAGCGGCCACACUGGGACUAGACACGGCCCAAACUCCUACGAAGGCAGCACGGGGAGGCCUCCGCGGUGGACGAAGGCUGACAAGCGACGCCGCGUAGUGAUGAGGGUCUCGGAGCGUGAACUCUGUUGCCAAAUGGAACGCCAAAAGGGGCGAUGUUCGCUGAGGACGGUACCUAGGGGAGAGCCCCGGCUAACUACGUGCCAGCAGCCGCGGUAUACGGGAGCGGACUCUCAGAUCUCCUCA